AUAAAGUGUUGAUCCUAACUGACCUAAGACAGGGAAUUUUUACUAGGAUUAAAUGUCAGGAACUGUCAAAAAACGGAGUUUAAAUGUAUUUGGCUAAGGUGUAUGUAAUCUUCCGACUUCAACUGUAUAAACUCUAACUGGCCCUGAGGAAGACACAGGGAUGCCGAGACAUUGGUAAAUACCCAUUACAUUUCUGGGAGUUUAUAUAUGGAGUGUGCAACUUUCUUUAUCGCCAUUUUGUCCUUAGCCAAACGUUUUGUGGAACUGGUCCCUUUAAAGGUGUCAGUCCAUCCGGGGCGGGAGCCCUGCAUGGUAGAAAAGAAUGUGGCCGCGGGCCACUACAUAGGGAAUAGGGUGCCAUUUGGGAUGCAGCCUGUGUUGAAGGCAGGGGCCUUUCAUCCUGAGAUUCCUUUGAGAGAGAGAAUGUAAACACGGGCCCCCGGCCAAGCCCAUCAGCCAGGCUUACGACUAAUCACAUUGUAUCUCGAUUGUUUUAAUUCCACAGGGGAUAUCAAAGAGAGAAGCUGGCUGGGGCAAUAGAGGAAUAGUGCUGGGUUGGGGUGGGUGGAUAGUACUGGCUGAGGGGGGAGAAGGGGGGAUGGAGGUAGUUUAAGGCUCUAUUAACAGGGCACAAUGCCUGCCCAAUGAUCUCUUUAGUGCUCCACACUGGUCCAGUCUUUAACAGUACAGUUGUACUGGAGACAGCGCUGCAAUGGAGAGAGAGAAAGAGACAGAGGGAAAGUGGGAGAGAGAGAGAGCAUGAGAGAGAGAGCAGAGGGAGAGAGAGGGGGCAGAGGGAAAUAGAGAGAGAGGCAGAGGGAAAGAGAUAGGCAGAGGGAAAGAGAGGUAGAGAGAGAGAGGCAGAGGGAAAGAGAAAGAAAGGCAGAGGGAAAGGGAGAGUGAGAAAGGCAACAAAAGAGAGAGCGAGAGGGGCAACACGAGAGGGAGGAAGGCGGAUGUGCUUGGUCAGUGGAGCUUGCCUUGCCUUGGAGGAUCUGCUGCAUGGCUGCUUUCUGUGCUGCCUGUUCUGCCUGCCUGUGCUGUUUGUCUGCCUGUGCUGUCUGUUCUGC
Molecule: long non-coding RNA, 1070 nt
Filed under: Salmo salar (Atlantic salmon)
Lineage: Eukaryota; Metazoa; Chordata; Actinopteri; Salmoniformes; Salmonidae
Description: lncRNA (ENSSSAG00000105267.1)
Source: RNAcentral